CCUACGGGAGGCAGCAGUAAGGAAUAUUGGUCAAUGGACGCAAGUCUGAACCAGCCAUGCCGCGUGGAGGAUGAAGGCCCUCUGGGUUGUAAACUCCUUUUAUGGGGGACGAAACCCCGGAUUUUUAUCCGGCCUGACGGUACCCCAGGAAUAAGCACCGGCUAACUCCGUGCCAGCAGCCGCGGUAAUACGGAGGGUGCAAGCGUUAUCCGGAUUCACUGGGUUUAAAGGGUGCGUAGGCGGGUUUGUAAGUCAGUGGUGAAAUCCCGAAGCUUAACUUCGGAACUGCCGUUGAUACUACAGGUCUUGAAUACUCGGGAGGUGAGCGGAAUAUGUCAUGUAGCGGUGAAAUGCUUAGAUAUGACAUAGAACACCGAUUGCGAAGGCAGCUCACUACAGAGUCAUUGACGCUGAGGCACGAAAGCGUGGGGAUCAAACAGGAUUAGAUACCCUGGUAG
RNAcentral lists this ribosomal RNA (458 nucleotides) under uncultured Bifissio sp. Its description in RNAcentral is "bacterial SSU rRNA". It matches the Rfam family "Bacterial small subunit ribosomal RNA", at positions 338 to 793 of the family's 1533-position model. Lineage: Bacteria; Pseudomonadati; Bacteroidota. The record is from RNAcentral.